This 123-nucleotide small RNA is filed under the name Marmota monax (woodchuck). The record is from RNAcentral. Lineage: Eukaryota; Metazoa; Chordata; Mammalia; Rodentia; Sciuridae.
GCCAGGCACGGUGGCGCAUGCCUGUAAUUCCAGUGGCUUAGGAGGCUGAGGCAGGAGGAUUGCGAGUUCAAAGCCAGCCUCAGCAAAAGAGGUGCUAAGCAACUCAGUGAGACCCUGUCUCUA